RNAcentral lists this ribosomal RNA (440 nucleotides) under uncultured bacterium. RNAcentral's name for it is "partial 16S ribosomal RNA". It matches the Rfam family "Bacterial small subunit ribosomal RNA", at positions 338 to 795 of the family's 1533-position model. The record is from RNAcentral.
CCUACGGGUGGCAGCAGUGGGGAAUAUUGCACAAUGGGGGAAACCCUGAUGCAGCGACGCCGCGUGAGUGAAGAAGUAUUUCGGUAUGUAAAGCUCUAUCAGCAGGGAAGAAAAUGACGGUACCUGAUUAAGAAGCCCCGGCUAACUACGUGACAGCAGCCGCGGUAAUACGGAGGGGGCAAGCGUUAUCCGGAUUUACUGGGUGUAAAGGGAGCGUAGACGGCAGCGCAAGUCUGAAGUGAAAUGCCGGGGCUUAACCCCGGAACUGCUUUGGAAACUGUGCAGCGAGAGUGCAGGAGAGGUAAGUGGAAUUCCGAGUGUAGCGGUGAAAUGCGUAGAUAUUAGGAGGAACACCAGUGGCGAAGGCGGCCUGCUGGACAUUAACUGACGCUGAGGCGCGAAAGCGUGGGGAGCAAACAGGAUUAGAUACCCUGGUAGUC